ACACACGCACCUUCCUGGAGACAGCGGUCGCCUCGAUGAAUGCCGGAUGCAACCUGGAGCUCUCCUACGGCAUGAGGAACAACGUCUUCAUGCACAUCCCCCAGGCGCUGGUCAUGGGGAACAUCACGCUGCAGAUGCUGCGAGACCGGGUCCGGCCCCUCUUCUACACGCGGAUGCGGCUGGG
Egretta garzetta (little egret) is the source of this 184-nucleotide long non-coding RNA. RefSeq lists it as uncharacterized. The record is from RefSeq and is a predicted model, not a curated record. The transcript is spliced from 3 exons. Lineage: Eukaryota; Metazoa; Chordata; Aves; Pelecaniformes; Ardeidae.